RNAcentral lists this ribosomal RNA (423 nucleotides) under uncultured archaeon. RNAcentral's name for it is "bacterial SSU rRNA". It matches the Rfam family "Archaeal small subunit ribosomal RNA", at positions 474 to 903 of the family's 1478-position model. The record is from RNAcentral.
UACCUGCAGCUCUAGUGGUGUCCGCUAUUAUUGGGCCUAAAACGUCCGUAGCCGGCUUAUUAAAUGCCUGGGUAAAUCGUACGGCUUAACCGUACGAAUUCCGGGUAGACUGAUAAGCUUGGGACCGGGAGAAGCUAGAGGUACUCCUGGGGUAGAGGUGAAAUUCUGUAAUCCUAGGGGGACCACCAGUGGCGAAGGCGUCUAGCUAGAACGGGUUUGACGGAGAGGGACGAAGCCCUGGGGAGCGAACGGGAUUAGAUACCCCGGUAGUCCAGGGUGUAAACGCUGCUUGCUUGAUGUUAGUCGGGCUCCGAGCCCGAUUAGUGUCGGAGAGAAGUUGUUAAGCAAGCUGCCUGGAAGUACGGCGCAAGACUGAACUUAAGGAAUUGGCGGGGAGCACUGCAACGGUGGAGCGUGCGGUUU